RNAcentral lists this ribosomal RNA (1557 nucleotides) under Staphylococcus aureus. RNAcentral's name for it is "16S ribosomal RNA". It matches the Rfam family "Bacterial small subunit ribosomal RNA". Lineage: Bacteria; Bacillati; Bacillota; Bacilli; Caryophanales; Staphylococcaceae. The record is from RNAcentral.
UUUUAUGGAGAGUUUGAUCCUGGCUCAGGAUGAACGCUGGCGGCGUGCCUAAUACAUGCAAGUCGAGCGAACGGACGAGAAGCUUGCUUCUCUGAUGUUAGCGGCGGACGGGUGAGUAACACGUGGAUAACCUACCUAUAAGACUGGGAUAACUUCGGGAAACCGGAGCUAAUACCGGAUAAUAUUUUGAACCGCAUGGUUCAAAAGUGAAAGACGGUCUUGCUGUCACUUAUAGAUGGAUCCGCGCUGCAUUAGCUAGUUGGUAAGGUAACGGCUUACCAAGGCAACGAUGCAUAGCCGACCUGAGAGGGUGAUCGGCCACACUGGAACUGAGACACGGUCCAGACUCCUACGGGAGGCAGCAGUAGGGAAUCUUCCGCAAUGGGCGAAAGCCUGACGGAGCAACGCCGCGUGAGUGAUGAAGGUCUUCGGAUCGUAAAACUCUGUUAUUAGGGAAGAACAUAUGUGUAAGUAACUGUGCACAUCUUGACGGUACCUAAUCAGAAAGCCACGGCUAACUACGUGCCAGCAGCCGCGGUAAUACGUAGGUGGCAAGCGUUAUCCGGAAUUAUUGGGCGUAAAGCGCGCGUAGGCGGUUUUUUAAGUCUGAUGUGAAAGCCCACGGCUCAACCGUGGAGGGUCAUUGGAAACUGGAAAACUUGAGUGCAGAAGAGGAAAGUGGAAUUCCAUGUGUAGCGGUGAAAUGCGCAGAGAUAUGGGGGAACACCAGUGGCGAAGGCGACUUUCUGGUCUGUAACUGACGCUGAUGUGCGAAAGCGUGGGGAUCAAACAGGAUUAGAUACCCUGGUAGUCCACGCCGUAAACGAUGAGUGCUAAGUGUUAGGGGGUUUCCGCCCCUUAGUGCUGCAGCUAACGCAUUAAGCACUCCGCCUGGGGAGUACGACCGCAAGGUUGAAACUCAAAGGAAUUGACGGGGACCCGCACAAGCGGUGGAGCAUGUGGUUUAAUUCGAAGCAACGCGAAGAACCUUACCAAAUCUUGACAUCCUUUGACAACUCUAGAGAUAGAGCCUUCCCCUUCGGGGGACAAAGUGACAGGUGGUGCAUGGUUGUCGUCAGCUCGUGUCGUGAGAUGUUGGGUUAAGUCCCGCAACGAGCGCAACCCUUAAGCUUAGUUGCCAUCAUUAAGUUGGGCACUCUAAGUUGACUGCCGGUGACAAACCGGAGGAAGGUGGGGAUGACGUCAAAUCAUCAUGCCCCUUAUGAUUUGGGCUACACACGUGCUACAAUGGACAAUACAAAGGGCAGCGAAACCGCGAGGUCAAGCAAAUCCCAUAAAGUUGUUCUCAGUUCGGAUUGUAGUCUGCAACUCGACUACAUGAAGCUGGAAUCGCUAGUAAUCGUAGAUCAGCAUGCUACGGUGAAUACGUUCCCGGGUCUUGUACACACCGCCCGUCACACCACGAGAGUUUGUAACACCCGAAGCCGGUGGAGUAACCUUUUAGGAGCUAGCCGUCGAAGGUGGGACAAAUGAUUGGGGUGAAGUCGUAACAAGGUAGCCGUAUCGGAAGGUGCGGCUGGAUCACCUCCUUUCUAA